GACGAACGCUGGCGGCGUGCUUAACACAUGCAAGUCGAAUGAAGAGCGAUGGAGGCUUGCUUCUAUCAAUCUUAGUGGCGCACGGGUGUGUAACGCGUAAUCAACCUGCCCUUCAGUGGGGGACAACAGUUGGACACGACUGCUAAUACCGCAUACGUUCUAAUCUCGGCAUCGAGGAUAGAUGAAAGGUGGCCCCUACAUGUAAGCUAUCACUGAAGGUGGGGAUUGCGUCUGAUUAGCUAGUUGGGUGGGUAACGGCCCACCAAAGCGAUGAUCAGUAGCCGGACUGAGAGGAUGAACGGCCACAUUGGGACUGAGACACGGCCCAGACUCCUACGGGAGGCAGCAGUGGGGAAUCUUCCGCAAUGGACGAAAGUCUGACGGAGCAACGCCGCGUGAGUGAUGACGGCCUUCGGGUUGUAAAGCUCUGUUAAUCGGGACGAAAGGCCUUCUUGCGAAUAGUGAGAAGGAUUGACGGUACCGAAAUAGAAAGCCACGGCUAACUACGUG
This 510-nucleotide ribosomal RNA is filed under the name uncultured bacterium. RNAcentral's name for it is "partial 16S ribosomal RNA". It matches the Rfam family "Bacterial small subunit ribosomal RNA", at positions 28 to 507 of the family's 1533-position model. The record is from RNAcentral.